AGACUAGACCGAAGCAAGAACUGCAAAAGGCAUUUCAAUGCGCUUUCACACAUUUGGAAGAAGAUUAUGUCUUCCCCCGUUUCCAAAGAGCUAAGACAGAAGUACGACGUUUGAUCCAUGACCAUCCGGAAGGAUGAUGUUCAGACUGUGCAAGGACAUUGUAAAGGUCAGCAAAUUGGCCACGUACUCAAGGUUUACAGGAAGAAAGAUGUCAUCUACACUGAAUGGGUGCAGCAGCAAAAGGCUAAUGGUACAACUGUCCGUGUAGGCAUUCACCCCAGCAAAGUGGUUAUCACUAGGCUAAAAGUGGACAAAGACCAUAAAAAGAUCCAUGAACAGAAAGCCAAAUCUUGCCAAGUAGGAAAGAAAAAGGGCAAAUACAAGAAAGAAACAAUUGAGAAGAUACAGGAAU
RNAcentral lists this long non-coding RNA (412 nucleotides) under Homo sapiens (human). RNAcentral's name for it is "non-protein coding lnc-SEPT11-4:1". Lineage: Eukaryota; Metazoa; Chordata; Mammalia; Primates; Hominidae. The record is from RNAcentral.